Long non-coding RNA from Arabidopsis thaliana (thale cress), 240 nucleotides. RefSeq annotates it as other RNA. NCBI's taxonomy places the organism in Eukaryota, Viridiplantae, Streptophyta, Magnoliopsida, Brassicales, Brassicaceae. The transcript has a single exon. The record is from RefSeq.
GCGGUUUGCUUUAUGCAACUUUGAAACAUUUGCUAAUUUGUUGAUAUAAAAUUUGGCUAUUUAUACUGUUUAGUUUAGUAAGGAAUUAACACAAAUGUUUUAGCGCAUUAUUGCACAUUUGUGUGAAAUAAUAUACUAUUUUCGGGAAAAUCAUAAUCGAAAUAGAAUUCCAAAAUUUCCACGUGGCAUAUUAUGAAAGGAAUAUUCCAGCUCGGGUAAGCUGGCCUCCAUCACCGGUUA